AAGUCGUAACAAGGUUUCCGUAGGUGAACCUGCGGAAGGAUCAUUAUUGAAUACGCUUGAGUGCUGAUGCUGGCCUUUUGGGGCAUGUGCUCGCAUUCGAACUAUUUAUCUUCUCUCUGUGCACCUUUUGUAGUCUCUGAACGUCACCCUCCGCUGCAAAUGCGGGUUAUUGGGGGAGCAUUCCCCUGGGCUUCAGAGUUCUAUGUCUUAUAAACCAUUAGUAUGUUAUAGAAUGUCAUUUUUCCGAUGGCUAGUCCAUUGAAAACCUAAUACAACUUUCAACAACGGAUCUCUUGGCUCUC
Molecule: unclassified non-coding RNA, 302 nt
Filed under: air metagenome
Description: partial contains small subunit ribosomal RNA, internal transcribed spacer 1, and 5.8S ribosomal RNA
Rfam family: Eukaryotic small subunit ribosomal RNA (bases 1-46)
Source: RNAcentral